CAGCCUACGGGGGGCAGCAGUGGGGAAUAUUGCGCAAUGGGGGCAACCCUGACGCAGCAACGCCGCGUGCAGGAAGAAGGUCUUCGGAUUGUAAACUGUUGUCGCAAGGGAAGAAGACAGUGACGGUACCUUGUGAGAAAGUCACGGCUAACUACGUGCCAGCAGCCGCGGUAAUACAUAGGGGGCAAGCGUUAUCCGGAAUUAUUGGGCGUAAAGGGUGCGUAGACGGAAGAACAAGUUGGUUGUGAAAUCCCUCGGCUCAACUGAGGAACUGCAACCAAAACUAUUCUCCUUGAGUGUCGGAG
Molecule: ribosomal RNA, 305 nt
Filed under: uncultured bacterium
Lineage: Bacteria
Description: bacterial SSU rRNA
Rfam family: Bacterial small subunit ribosomal RNA
Source: RNAcentral